UACCGAGUGCGGGCCCUCUGGGUCCAACCUCCCAUCCGUGUCUAUCUGUACCCUGUUGCUUCGGCGUGGCCACGGCCCGCCGAAGACUAACAUUUGAACACUGUCUGAAGUUUGCAGUCUGAGUUUUUAGUUAAACAAUAAUUAAAACUUUCAACAACGGAUCUCUUGGUUCCGGCAUCGAUGAAGAACGCAGCGAAAUGCGAUAAUUAAUGUGAAUUGCAGAAUUCAGUGAAUCAUCGAGUCUUUGAACGCACAUUGCGCCCCCUGGUAUUCCGGGGGGCAUGCCUGUCCGAGCGUCAUUGCUGCCCUCAAGCACGGCUUGUGUGUUGGGCUUCCGUCCCUGGUAACGGGGACGGGCCCAAAAGGCAGUGGCGGCACCAUGUCUGGUCCUCGAGCGUAUGGGGCUUUGUCACCCGCUCCCGUAGGUCCAGCUGGCAGCUAGCCUCGCAACCAAUCUUUUUAACCAGGUUGACCUCGGAUCAGGUAGGGAUACCCGCUGAACUUAAGCAUAUCAAUA
This 517-nucleotide unclassified non-coding RNA is filed under the name Aspergillus neocarnoyi. RNAcentral's name for it is "sequence contains ITS1, 5.8S rRNA gene and ITS2". The stretch from base 146 to 299 matches the Rfam family "5.8S ribosomal RNA". Lineage: Eukaryota; Fungi; Ascomycota; Eurotiomycetes; Eurotiales; Aspergillaceae. The record is from RNAcentral.